UNANCACACNGGGAGGAUUGACAGAUUGAGAGCUCUUUCUUGAUUCUNUGGGUGGUGGUGCAAUGGCCGUUCUUAGUUGGUGGGUUGCCUUGUCAGGUUGAUUCCGGUAACGAACGAGACCUCAGCCUGCUAAAUAGUCACANNUGCNUCUUUCAGNUGGCCGACUUCUUAAAGGGACUUUUGUCGUUUAGGCCAUGGAAGUUUGAGGCNAUAA
Molecule: ribosomal RNA, 214 nt
Filed under: uncultured eukaryote
Lineage: Eukaryota
Description: partial 18S rRNA
Rfam family: Eukaryotic small subunit ribosomal RNA
Source: RNAcentral